RNAcentral lists this ribosomal RNA (467 nucleotides) under uncultured bacterium. RNAcentral's name for it is "bacterial SSU rRNA". It matches the Rfam family "Bacterial small subunit ribosomal RNA", at positions 29 to 506 of the family's 1533-position model. The record is from RNAcentral.
GUGAACGCUGGCAGUGUGCCUAAUGCAUGCAAGUCGAGCGGUUCUUCUCGCAAGGGAAGGAUAGCGGCGAACGGCUGAGCAACACACAGGGAACCUACCCUCUGGUGGGGGAUAAUCCCGCGAAAGCGGGACUAAUACCGCGUACGUCCUUCUGGUACAAGCUGGAAGGAGAAAGUUCCGGCGCAAGUCGGGACGCCGAUGGAUGGUCUUGUGUCCCAUCAGGUAGUUGGUGAGGUAACGGCCCACCAAGCCUUCGACGGGUAGCUGGUCUGAGAGGACGGCCAGCCAGAGGGGGACUGAGACACGGCCCCCACUCCUACGGGAGGCAGCAGCAAGGGAUCUUGGGCAAUGGGCGAAAGCCUGACCCAGCGACACUGCGUGGGGGACGAAGGCCUUCGGGUCGUAAACCCCUUUUCCCGGGGAAGAGUAAGGACGGUACUCGGGGAAUAAGUCCCGGCUAACUACGU